UCCGGAGUAGCUCAGCGGUAGAGCGGUCGGCUGUUAACCGAUUGGUCGCAGGUUCGAUUCCUGCCUCCGGAGCCA
RNAcentral lists this transfer RNA (75 nucleotides) under Chloroflexota bacterium. Its description in RNAcentral is "Chloroflexi bacterium tRNA-Asn". It matches the Rfam family "tRNA". From Rfam's summary of the family: Transfer RNA (tRNA) molecules are approximately 80 nucleotides in length. The record is from RNAcentral. RNAcentral also lists the same sequence under 3 other names. Lineage: Bacteria; Bacillati; Chloroflexota.